Molecule: ribosomal RNA, 516 nt
Filed under: uncultured bacterium
Lineage: Bacteria
Description: bacterial SSU rRNA
Rfam family: Bacterial small subunit ribosomal RNA
Source: RNAcentral
GAUGAACGCUGGCGGCGUGCCUAAUACAUGCAAGUCGAGCGAACAGACGAGGAGCUUGCUCCUCUGACGUUAGCGGCGGACGGGUGAGUAACACGUGGAUAACCUACCUAUAAGACCGGGAUAACUUCGGGAAACCGGAGCUAAUACCAGAUAACAUGUUGAACCGCGUGGUUCAACAGUGAAAGACGGUCUUGCUGUCACUUAUAGAUGGAUCCGCGCCGCAUUAGCUAGUUGGUAAGGUAACGGCUUACCAAGGCAACGAUGCGUAGCCGACCUGAGAGGGUGAUCGGCCACACUGGAACUGAGACACGGUCCAGACUCCUACGGGAGGCAGCAGUAGGGAAUCUUCCGCAAUGGGCGAAAGCCUGACGGAGCAACGCCGCGUGAGUGAUGAAGGUCUUCGGAUCGUAAAACUCUGUUAUUAGGGAAGAACAAAUGUGUAAGUAACUAUGCACGUCUUGACGGCACCUAAUCAGAAAGCCACGGCUAACUACGUGCCAGCCGCCGCCGUAACAC